This 84-nucleotide transfer RNA is filed under the name Planctomycetota bacterium. RNAcentral describes it as "Planctomycetes bacterium (bioreactor metagenome) tRNA-Leu". It matches the Rfam family "tRNA". From Rfam's summary of the family: Transfer RNA (tRNA) molecules are approximately 80 nucleotides in length. Their secondary structure includes four short double-helical elements and three loops (D, anti-codon, and T loops). The record is from RNAcentral. Lineage: Bacteria; Pseudomonadati; Planctomycetota.
GCCGGAGUGGCGGAAUCGGCAGACGCGCCGGACUCAAAAUCCGGUAUGGGCAACCAUGUGUGGGUUCAACUCCCACCUCCGGCA